GCCAGGCAAGGUGGCACUUGCCAGUAGUCCCAGCCACUCAGGAGGCUGAGGUGGGAGGAUCUCUUGAGCCCAGGAGUUCUGAGCUAUCGUGUGUUUGACGUCAACAUGGUGACCUCCCGAGAGCAAGGGACCACAAGAUUGCCUAAGGAGGGGUGAACUAGCCCAGGUCAGAGACAGCAGGUCAAAACUCCUCUGCUGAUCAGUAAUGGGAUCAUGCCUGUGAAUAACCACUGCACUCUGGCCUGGGCAACAUAAAGGAAACCCUGUCUAU
This 271-nucleotide signal recognition particle RNA is filed under the name Propithecus coquereli (Coquerel's sifaka). Its description in RNAcentral is "Metazoan signal recognition particle RNA (ENSPCOG00000011681.1)". It matches the Rfam family "Metazoan signal recognition particle RNA". From Rfam's summary of the family: The signal recognition particle (SRP) is a universally conserved ribonucleoprotein. It is involved in the co-translational targeting of proteins to membranes. The record is from RNAcentral. Lineage: Eukaryota; Metazoa; Chordata; Mammalia; Primates; Indriidae.